GUUUACAGCUGGGUAGGUCUGCAGGUGGCAGCUAAUGUAUUGUACAGGUGGCUGCAUAAAUCCUGAUUCAUUUCAGCUGGAGGAGGUAGUGUUCUCCCUGGAAUAUGUUUAGUUCGCCUGGGUCUAGGGCAGACAGCCCUGGUCAUACCAAAGCCAGUGUUUGAGAGUUUGAGAUGAGAAUAAGAAGAAUCUUUGGAACAUGGUUUUCAUCAGGAAACUGGCUACAGAGGUGACAGAAGAGCUUUGAAGCCAAAGAAGAGAUGGGUAUUAGCAGUAACAGGGAGCCACCUCUGGCCCUGGGUCACAGGGAGAGCCCAGGCAGGUGAACCAAAUUAUAGUCUUAAUAUGCCAAAUAGGACCCAAGAUACCUCAAGUACAUUGUGAAAGGAAUAUAUUUGCUGAGGACAGCAGAGGAGAAAGAGAAAGAAUCAUUUCUAAAUAAAAUGCUGACUUCUGAGUUAUCUGCAUUAAGGUUCAUAGGUGGAAGGGAGUUGGCUUGUCUCAGAUAAGACUUUGGACUAUGGACUUUUGAGUAAAUGCUGAAAUGAAUUGACACUUUCGGAGACUGUUGGGAAGGCAUGAUUGGUUUUGAUGAAAUUUGAGAGAGGCCAGGGGCAGAAUGAUAUGGUUUGGCUCUGUGUCCCCACCCAAAUCUCAUCUUGUAGCUCCCAUAAUUCCCACGUUUUAUGGGAGGGACCCAGUGGGACACGAUUGAAUCAUGGCAGUGGGGAGUAGGUCUCUCCUGUGCUGUUCUCUUGAUAGUGAAUGGGUCUCAUGAGAUCUGACAGUUUUAAAAAUGGGAGUCUCCCUGCACAAGCUCUCUUUUUGCCUGCCACCAUCCAUGUAAGUUGUGAUUUGAUCCUCCUUGCCUUCCACCAUGAUUGUGAGG
Molecule: long non-coding RNA, 889 nt
Filed under: Homo sapiens (human)
Lineage: Eukaryota; Metazoa; Chordata; Mammalia; Primates; Hominidae
Description: HSALNT0055810
Source: RNAcentral